This 465-nucleotide ribosomal RNA is filed under the name uncultured bacterium. RNAcentral describes it as "bacterial SSU rRNA". It matches the Rfam family "Bacterial small subunit ribosomal RNA", at positions 338 to 795 of the family's 1533-position model. The record is from RNAcentral.
CCUACGGGGGGCAGCAGUGGGGAAUAUUGCACAAUGGGCGAAAGCCUGAUGCAGCCAUGCCGCGUGUGUGAAGAAGGCUCUAGGGUUGUAAAGCACUUUCAGUGGGGAGGAAAAGCUCAAAAUUAAUACUUUUGAGCCUUGACGUUACCUGCAGAAGAAGCACCGGCAAACUCCGUGCCAGCAGCCGCGGUAAUACGGAGGGUGCGAGCGUUAAUCGGAAUUACUGGGCGUAAAGCGCGCGUAGGUGGUUUGAUAAGCUAGCUGUGAAAGCCCUGGGCUCAACCUGGGAACUGCAGUUAGAACUGUCUGGCUAGAGUAUAGUAGAGGGUGGCGGAAUUUCCUGUGUAGCGGUGAAAUGCGUAGAUAUAGGAAGGAACAUCAGUGGCGAAGGCGGCCACCUGGACUAAUACUGACACUGAGGUGCGAAAGCGUGGGGAGCAAACAGGAUUAGAUACCCCAGUAGUC